ACACGUAGGGGGCGAGCGUUGUUCGGAAUCAUUGGGCGUAAAGGGUGCGCAGGCGGCUUGGCAAGUCUGGUGUAAAAUGGUUGUGCUCAACACAAUCAUGCGCUGGAAACUGGGCGGCUUGAGUCCCGUAGGGGAUGCCGGAAUUCCAGGUGUAGGGGGGAAAUCUGUAGAUAUCUGGAAGAACACCGAUGGCGAAGGCAGGCAUCUGGCCGGAGACUGACGCUGAGGCGCGAAGGCGCGGGGAGCGAACAGGUUUAGAUACCCUGGUAGUCCGCGCAGUAAACGAUGCGCACCAGGUGUCGGGCGGCAGCGCCCGGUACCGGAGCUAACGCGAUGAGUGCGCCGCCUGGGGAGUAUGCCCGCAAGGGUGAAACUUAAAGGAAUUGACGGGG
RNAcentral lists this ribosomal RNA (392 nucleotides) under uncultured bacterium. Its description in RNAcentral is "partial 16S ribosomal RNA". It matches the Rfam family "Bacterial small subunit ribosomal RNA", at positions 523 to 918 of the family's 1533-position model. The record is from RNAcentral.